AUUGAACGCUGGCGGCAGGCCUAACACAUGCAAGUCGAACGGUAACAGGAAACAGCUUGCUGUUUCGCUGACGAGUGGCGGGCGGGUGAGUAAUGUCUGGGAAACUGCCUGAUGGAGGGGGAUAACUACUGGAAACGGUAGCUAAUACCGCAUAACGUCGCAAGACCAAAGAGGGGGACCUUCGGGCCUCUUGCCAUCGGAUGUGCCCAGAUGGGAUUAGCUUGUUGGUGGGGUAACGGCUCACCAAGGCGACGAUCCCUAGCUGGUCUGAGAGGAUGACCAGCCACACUGGAACUGAGACACGGUCCAGACUCCUACGGGAGGCUGCAGUGGGGAAUAUUGCACAAUGGGCGCAAGCCUGAUGCAGCCAUGCCGCGUGUAUGAAGAAGGCCUUCGGGUUGUAAAGUACUUUCAGCGGGGAGGAAGGGAGUAAAGUUAAUACCUUUACUCAUUGACGUUACCCGCAGAAGAAGCACCGGCUAACUCCGUGCCAGCAGCCGCCGUAA
RNAcentral lists this ribosomal RNA (506 nucleotides) under uncultured bacterium. RNAcentral describes it as "partial 16S ribosomal RNA". It matches the Rfam family "Bacterial small subunit ribosomal RNA", at positions 30 to 523 of the family's 1533-position model. The record is from RNAcentral.